UACAGAGGGCGCGAGCGUUAAUCGGAAUUACUGGGCGUAAAGCGCACGUAGGUGGCGACGUAAGUCGGGUGUGAAAGCCCCGGGCUCAACCUGGGAAUUGCAUUCGAGACUGCAUUGCUGGAGUACGGAAGAGGAAGGCGGAAUUCCCGGUGUAGCGGUGAAAUGCGUAGAUAUCGGGAGGAACAUCAGUGGCGAAGGCGGCCUUCUGGUCCAGUACUGACACUCAAGUGCGAAAGCGUGGGGAGCAAACAGG
RNAcentral lists this ribosomal RNA (253 nucleotides) under uncultured bacterium. RNAcentral's name for it is "partial 16S ribosomal RNA". It matches the Rfam family "Bacterial small subunit ribosomal RNA", at positions 524 to 776 of the family's 1533-position model. The record is from RNAcentral.